CGCCUGGCAAUGGGCAGAGACACACUUUGUUGGUAGUGUUAUUCUCACAUCUGACAAGGGCAGAGGUGGCAGUCCUUUGUUCAUCCUAGCUUGAUGCCUGGCUUGGUGGCCAACGCUGCCUUAUGCCUAGGAUUCAUAA
Mus pahari (shrew mouse) is the source of this 139-nucleotide small nucleolar RNA. RefSeq annotates it as small nucleolar RNA SNORA48. The record is from RefSeq and is a predicted model, not a curated record. Lineage: Eukaryota; Metazoa; Chordata; Mammalia; Rodentia; Muridae. The transcript has a single exon.